This 484-nucleotide ribosomal RNA is filed under the name uncultured bacterium. Its description in RNAcentral is "partial 16S ribosomal RNA". It matches the Rfam family "Bacterial small subunit ribosomal RNA", at positions 30 to 507 of the family's 1533-position model. The record is from RNAcentral.
AUUGAACGCUGGCGGCAGGCCUAACACAUGCAAGUCGAGCGGAUGAAGGGAGCUUGCUCCUGGAUUCAGCGGCGGACGGGUGAGUAAUGCCUAGGAAUCUGCCUGGUGGUGGGGGAUAACGUCCGGAAACGGGCGCUAAUACCGCAUACGUCCUGAGGGAGAAAGUGGGGGAUCUUCGGACCUCACGCUAUCAGAUGAGCCUAGGUCGGAUUAGCUAGUUGGUGGGGUAAAGGCCUACCAAGGCGACGAUCCGUAACUGGUCUGAGAGGAUGAUCAGUCACACUGGAACUGAGACACGGUCCAGACUCCUACGGGAGGCAGCAGUGGGGAAUAUUGGACAAUGGGCGCAAGCCUGAUCCAGCCAUGCCGCGUGUGUGAAGAAGGUCUUCGGAUUGUAAAGCACUUUAAGUUGGGAGGAAGGGCAGUAAGUUAAUACCUUGCUGUUUUGACGUUACCAACAGAAUAAGCACCGGCUAACUUCGUG